RNAcentral lists this ribosomal RNA (492 nucleotides) under uncultured bacterium. Its description in RNAcentral is "partial 16S ribosomal RNA". It matches the Rfam family "Bacterial small subunit ribosomal RNA", at positions 29 to 507 of the family's 1533-position model. The record is from RNAcentral.
AGUGAACGCUGGCGGUAGGCCUAACACAUGCAAGUCGAACGGCAGCACAGUAAGAGCUUGCUCUUACGGGUGGCGAGUGGCGGACGGGGGAGGAAUACAUCGGAAUCUACUUUUUCGUGGGGGAUAACGUAGGGAAACUUACGCUAAUACCGCAUACGACCUACGGGUGAAAGCAGGGGAUCUUCGGACCUUGCGCGAUUGAAUGAGCCGAUGUCAGAUUAGCUAGUUGGCGGGGUAAAGGCCCACCAAGGCGACGAUCCGUAGCUGGUCUGAGAGGAUGAUCAGCCACACUGGAACUGAGACACGGUCCAGACUCCUACGGGAGGCAGCAGUGGGGAAUAUUGGACAAUGGGCGCAAGCCUGAUCCAGCCAUACCGCGUGGGUGAAGAAGGCCUUCGGGUUGUAAAGCCCUUUUGUUGGGAAAGAAAAGCAGCAGGUUAAUACCCCGCUGUUCUGACGGUACCCAAAGAAUAAGCACCGGCUAACUUCGUG